GUCUCAAAGAUUAAGCCAUGCAUGUGUAAGUACAAGCAUUUGUAUUGUGAAACUGCGAAUGGCUCAUNUAUAUNCAGUNUAUAGUUUACUUGAUACAACUCUAUAUGNGANUAACCGUAGUAAUUCUAGAGCUAAUACAUGCCCACGCACUUAUUAGGUUCAGGCCAGCAAACAAAAGGUGACUCAUAAUAAACAUGCAUAUCGCGCAAGCGAUGAAUCAUUCAAGUUNCUGCCCUAUCAGCUGUAGAUGGUAGAG
RNAcentral lists this ribosomal RNA (256 nucleotides) under uncultured Labyrinthulomycetes. RNAcentral's name for it is "partial 18S ribosomal RNA". It matches the Rfam family "Eukaryotic small subunit ribosomal RNA", at positions 34 to 333 of the family's 1831-position model. The record is from RNAcentral. Lineage: Eukaryota; Bigyra.